RNAcentral lists this ribosomal RNA (570 nucleotides) under uncultured marine eukaryote. Its description in RNAcentral is "SSU rRNA". It matches the Rfam family "Eukaryotic small subunit ribosomal RNA", at positions 618 to 1189 of the family's 1831-position model. The record is from RNAcentral.
GUUAAAAAGCUCGUAGUUGGAUUUCUGGUGGGCGCAUCCGGUCCGCUCCGCAAGGAGUGUGCACUGGCGAUGUCGCCGGCCACUUUUACGGCGAACGAUUCUGGCAUUAAGUUGUCGGGGUCGGGAGCCGUAUCAUUUACUGUGAAAAAAUUAGAGUGUUUAAAGCAGGCAUUUGCUGUGAAUACAUUAGCAUGGAAUAAUAAGAUAGGACUUUGGUGCUAUUUUGUUGGUUUGCACGCCAAGGUAAUGAUUAACAGGGACAGUUGGGGGUAUUCGUAUUUUGAUGUCAGAGGUGAAAUUCUUGGAUUUUCGAAAGACGAACUUCUGCGAAAGCAUUUACCAAGGAUGUUUUCAUUAAUCAAGAACGAAAGUUAGGGGAUCGAAGAUGAUUAGAUACCAUCGUAGUCUUAACCAUAAACUAUGCCGACUAGGGAUUGGCGGACGUUAAUCAAUGACUCCGUCAGCACCUUACGAGAAAUCAAAGUCUUUGGGUUCCGGGGGGAGUAUGGUCGCAAGGCUGAAACUUAAAGGAAUUGACGGAAGGGCACCACCAGGAGUGGAGCCUGCGGC